Molecule: transfer RNA, 74 nt
Filed under: Clostridiales bacterium
Lineage: Bacteria; Bacillati; Bacillota; Clostridia; Eubacteriales
Description: tRNA-Pro
Rfam family: tRNA
About the family: Transfer RNA (tRNA) molecules are approximately 80 nucleotides in length. Their secondary structure includes four short double-helical elements and three loops (D, anti-codon, and T loops).
Source: RNAcentral
CGGGGAAUAGCUCAGUUUGGAAGAGCGCUUGGUUCGGGACCAAGAGGUCGCGGGUUCAAAUCCUGUUUCUCCGA